UGGCGGGGUAGCUCAGCUGGUUAGAGCAGCGGAAUCAUAAUCCGCGUGUCGGGGGUUCAAGUCCCUCUCCCGCUACCAU
Molecule: transfer RNA, 79 nt
Filed under: Ahrensia sp. R2A130
Lineage: Bacteria; Pseudomonadati; Pseudomonadota; Alphaproteobacteria; Hyphomicrobiales; Ahrensiaceae
Description: tRNA-Met
Rfam family: tRNA
About the family: Transfer RNA (tRNA) molecules are approximately 80 nucleotides in length. Their secondary structure includes four short double-helical elements and three loops (D, anti-codon, and T loops).
Source: RNAcentral